UACGAAGGGGGCUAGCGUUGUUCGGAAUGACUGGGCGUAAAGGGCGCGUAGGCGGCGAUCUUAGUCAGGCGUGAAAGCCCUGGGCUCAACCUAGGAAUUGCGUUUGAUACUGGGUUGCUAGAGUGCGGGAGAGGAUGGUGGAAUUCCCAGUGUAGAGGUGAAAUUCGUAGAUAUUGGGAAGAACACCGGUGGCGAAGGCGGCCAUCUGGACCGUUACUGACGCUGAGGCGCGAAAGCGUGGGGAGCAAACAGG
Molecule: ribosomal RNA, 253 nt
Filed under: uncultured bacterium
Lineage: Bacteria
Description: partial 16S ribosomal RNA
Rfam family: Bacterial small subunit ribosomal RNA
Source: RNAcentral